This 253-nucleotide ribosomal RNA is filed under the name uncultured bacterium. RNAcentral's name for it is "partial 16S ribosomal RNA". It matches the Rfam family "Bacterial small subunit ribosomal RNA", at positions 524 to 776 of the family's 1533-position model. The record is from RNAcentral.
UACGGGGGGGGCAAGCGUUGUUCGGAAUUACUGGGCGUAAAGGGCUCGUAGGUGGUCAACUAAGUCAGACGUGAAAUCCCUCGGCUUAACCGGGGAACUGCGUCUGAUACUGGAUGGCUUGAGUUUGGGAGAGGGAUGCGGAAUUCCAGGUGUAGCGGUGAAAUGCGUAGAUAUCUGGAGGAACACCGGUGGCGAAGGCGGCAUCCUGGACCAACACUGACACUGAGGAGCGAAAGCCAGGGGAGCAAACGGG